UACGGAGGGGGCUAGCGUUGUUCGGAAUGACUGGGCGUAAAGCGCGCGUAGGCGGAUCAGAAAGUUGGGGGUGAAAUCCCGGGGCUCAACCUCGGAAUUGCCUUCAAAACUCCUGGUCUUGAGUUCGAGAGAGGUGAGUGGAAUUCCGAGUGUAGAGGUGAAAUUCGUAGAUAUUCGGAGGAACACCAGUGGCGAAGGCGGCUCACUGGCUCAUUACUGACGCUGAGGCUCGAAAGCGUGGGGAGCAAACAGG
Molecule: ribosomal RNA, 253 nt
Filed under: uncultured bacterium
Lineage: Bacteria
Description: partial 16S ribosomal RNA
Rfam family: Bacterial small subunit ribosomal RNA
Source: RNAcentral